UAGGGAAUCUUCGGCAAUGGACGGAAGUCUGACCGAGCAACGCCGCGUGAGUGAAGAAGGUUUUCGGAUCGUAAAGCUCUGUUGUUCGAGAAGAACGUUGGUAGGAGUGGAAAAUCUACCAAGUGACGGUAACUAACCAGAAAGGGACGGCUAACUACGUGCCAGCAGCCGCGGUAAUACGUAGGUCCCGAGCGUUGUCCGGAUUUAUUGGGCGUAAGGCGAGCGCAGGCGGUUCUUUAAGUCUGAAGUUAAAGGCAGUGGCUUAACCAUUGUACGCUUUGGAAACUGUAGGACUUGAGUGCAGAAGGGGUGAGUGGAAUUCCAUGUGUAGCGGUGAAAUGCGUAGAUAUAUGGAGGAACACCGGUGGCGAAAGCGGCUCUCUGGUCUGUAACUGACGCUGAGGCUCGAAAGCGUGGGGAGCAAACAGG
This 429-nucleotide ribosomal RNA is filed under the name Bacillota bacterium. RNAcentral's name for it is "Firmicutes bacterium partial 16S ribosomal RNA". It matches the Rfam family "Bacterial small subunit ribosomal RNA", at positions 355 to 776 of the family's 1533-position model. The record is from RNAcentral. Lineage: Bacteria; Bacillati; Bacillota.